AAGGAUCAUUAGUGAUUAAACUGUUGCCCUCUGUGCUGGCUCUGCAAGUGCACGUCGGUGACUUUCAUUCCAAUACCCUUGUGAACCUUUGGCCUCUUGCUAGCUUCGGCUGGCAGAGGAUUCUACAUACAAACUCGCAUGUAAUGAAACUCUUGUUGUGCACAAGCACUACUAUACAACUUUCAACAACGGAUCUCUUGGCUCUC
RNAcentral lists this unclassified non-coding RNA (206 nucleotides) under uncultured fungus. RNAcentral describes it as "partial contains 18S rRNA, ITS1, 5.8S rRNA, ITS2 and 28S rRNA". The record is from RNAcentral. Lineage: Eukaryota; Fungi.